UAAUACGAAGGGGGCUAGCGUUGCUCGGAAUUACUGGGCGUAAAGGGCGCGUAGGCGGGUCGUUAAGUUGGGGGUGAAAGCCCGGGGCUCAACCUCGGAAAUGCCUUCAAUACUGGCGACCUUGAGUAUGGGAGAGGUGAGUGGAACUCCGAGUGUAGAGGUGAAAUUCGUAGAUAUUCGGAAGAACACCAGUGGCGAAGGCGACUCACUGGCCCAUUACUGACGCUGAGGCGCGAAAGCGUGGGGAGCAAACAGG
RNAcentral lists this ribosomal RNA (256 nucleotides) under uncultured archaeon. RNAcentral's name for it is "partial 16S ribosomal RNA". It matches the Rfam family "Bacterial small subunit ribosomal RNA", at positions 521 to 776 of the family's 1533-position model. The record is from RNAcentral.